CUCUCCCCUCUCUUCUCUUCCCUUUUUUUUGUUUCCCCCUCUCUUCGUGGGAUCUCCACCUCCUUUCCUCUUUUCCCUUUUUCUUUUUCCUUCUUUUUCUUCUGUGCUUUUGCUGGAGGUUUAGGGGUGCUCUUGAUCGAGUGUCUCUGGAUGCCAGCAGGUUUACUUUGAAAAAAUUAGAGUGCUCAAAGCAGGCUAAAAUGCCUGAAUAUUCGUGCAUGGAAUAAUAGAAUAGGAUGUCGAUCCUAUUUUGUUGGUUUUCGGGACUCGACAUAAUGAUAAAUAGGGACAGUCGGGGGCAUUUGUAUUCAAACGACAGAGGUGAAAUUCUUGGACCGUUUGAAGACAAACUACUGCGAAAGCAUUUGCCAAGAAUGUUUUCA
RNAcentral lists this ribosomal RNA (383 nucleotides) under marine copepod environmental sample. Its description in RNAcentral is "partial small subunit ribosomal RNA". The stretch from base 41 to 383 matches the Rfam family "Eukaryotic small subunit ribosomal RNA", at positions 627 to 972 of the family's 1831-position model. The record is from RNAcentral. Lineage: Eukaryota; Metazoa; Arthropoda; Copepoda.